AUUCAACUGACGAGUCCCAAAUAGGACGAAACGCGCGUCAAACUUGAU
RNAcentral lists this non-coding RNA (48 nucleotides) under Schistosoma margrebowiei. The record is from RNAcentral. Lineage: Eukaryota; Metazoa; Platyhelminthes; Trematoda; Strigeidida; Schistosomatidae.